GACGAACGCUGGCGGCGUGCUUAACACAUGCAAGUCGAACGGAAAGGCCCUGCUUUUGUGGGGUGCUCGAGUGGCGAACGGGUGGGUAACAAGUGAGUAACCUGCCCUUGACUUUGGGAUAACUUCAGGAAACUGGGGCUAAUACCGGAUAGGAGCUCCUGCUGCAUGGUGGGGGUUGGAAAGUUUCGGCGGUUGGGGAUGGACUCGCGGCUUAUCAGCUUGUUGGUGGGGUAGUGGCUUACCAAGGCGUUGAGGGGUAGCCGGCCUGGGUGGGUGACCGGCCACAUUGGGACUGAGAUACGGCCCAGACUCCUACGGGAGGCAGCAGUGGGGAAUAUUGCACAAUGGGCGGAAGCCUGAUGCAGCAACGCCGCGUGCGGGAUGACGGCCUUCGGGUUGUAAACCGCUUUCGCCUGUGACGAAGCGUGAGUGACGGUAAUGGGUAAAGAAGCACCGGCUAACUACGUG
This 468-nucleotide ribosomal RNA is filed under the name uncultured bacterium. RNAcentral describes it as "partial 16S ribosomal RNA". It matches the Rfam family "Bacterial small subunit ribosomal RNA", at positions 28 to 507 of the family's 1533-position model. The record is from RNAcentral.